GGGGAUUUAGCUUAGCAGUAUAAGUGCCUGCCUUGCAAGCAGGCAAUCAUGAGUUUGAUCCCUG
Molecule: transfer RNA, 64 nt
Organism: Cavia porcellus (domestic guinea pig)
Lineage: Eukaryota; Metazoa; Chordata; Mammalia; Rodentia; Caviidae
Rfam family: tRNA
About the family: Transfer RNA (tRNA) molecules are approximately 80 nucleotides in length. Their secondary structure includes four short double-helical elements and three loops (D, anti-codon, and T loops). Further hydrogen bonds mediate the characteristic L-shaped molecular structure. tRNAs have two regions of fundamental functional importance: the anti-codon, which is responsible for specific mRNA codon recognition, and the 3' end, to which the tRNAs corresponding amino acid is attached (by aminoacyl-tRNA synthetases). tRNAs cope with the degeneracy of the genetic code in two manners: having more than one tRNA (with a specific anti-codon) for a particular amino acid; and 'wobble' base-pairing, i.e. permitting non-standard base-pairing at the 3rd anti-codon position.
Source: Rfam